CGGGGAAUAUUCCGCAAUGGACGAAAGUCUGACGGAGCAACGCCGCGUGAGUGAUGAAGGUUUUCGGACUGUAAAGCUCUGUUGUUUAGGACGAAAGUGCCUGUUGCGAACAGCUACAGGUAUUGACGGUACUGAACGAGGAAGCCACGGCUAACUACGUGCCAGCAGCCGCGGUAAUACGUAGGUGGCAAGCGUUGUCCGGAAUUAUUGGGCGUAAAGAGCAUGUAGGCGGGAAUCUAAGUCUGUUGUGAAAAUGCGGGGCUCAACCCCGUAUGGCGAUGGAAACUGGAUUUCUUGAGUGCAGGAGAGGAAAGGGGAAUUCCCAGUGUAGCGGUGAAAUGCGUAGAUAUUGGGAGGAACACCAGUGGCGAAGGCGCCUUUCUGGACUGUGUCUGACGCUGAGAGGCGAAAGCCAGGGUAGCGAACGG
Molecule: ribosomal RNA, 428 nt
Filed under: uncultured bacterium
Lineage: Bacteria
Description: bacterial SSU rRNA
Rfam family: Bacterial small subunit ribosomal RNA
Source: RNAcentral